UUCUCAUCUGCAGGAAAACAACAUCACGGUUAGCCGCCACUGUCAAAUAGAAUGGCUCCAACACAACAAGUAUGUGUCCUGGCUUUUCAAAUGCUUCCUAAAUGCAGCACAAUCACAAGUGACCUAGUGAUCACUUGUGAUUGAAUCUUACGUCUGAAAACACGUGUUAUUCCUGUUGGUGUUAGAGCUGCACCUGACCGUUCUUUACAUAAUCUUUAAAUCUGUCAUUUAUUUUCUUGAUUAAUCCGGCAGUAGUUUGGUCCACAAAAUACUUAUAAUAAUUAAUUCAAAUUAUUAAGCAAAAUACCACUGAAACUGAUCAAAUAGAGUCAUAAUAUACAAGCAGGGGAUCUAUUUAUUGAAUUGAAGUGUCUUUCAGCUUGUUUGCAUUAGGUGCUUGAUGGUUGACCUGUGAUGUCACAGACAAAACAUCUUUAGCUGGCAGCUCAAUGUCACUCUGUGUCUCUCUAUCAUCCUUUAGCUGAUGGAGGAUAAUUUAGUCAGUUCAAACAUGCACCAGGCAGGAAUUCACCAAGUAUUUCUAACUGUUUUCUUCUUCUGUGAACAGCUUCUUCUUUUAUUUUCACAUCAAAGCCUGGAAGCAGGAACAGUGGAGCAUGUGCAGAGCACCCAGGCCUCUUUAGGUACCAUCGAAGGUAUACAUGCAGUAGUAAUGGACCUUGAGUUCAUCGAAGCGCAGAGUGAAGUGCAGGAUCUCUGCGAACUGUUUGGCCAGCGCCUGCUCCCUCUCCAGGUGCUGUGUAGGCGUGAAGGGCGGACACGUCAGGCACUCCAACAAACUCUGCAGAGCCUCCUCUGCAGACAAGCACACGUCACACGGCCACACAUUUAACACACUUUCAAAACUAAAGGGAUGUGAAAUGUAACGGAUAUGAAAAUUAAAUGUAGUGCUUUCACUCAUUCAUGGCUGUGGGCUGAAGGUGUAAUAACCCAGAUUAAAUGUGUUAUAUUUGUACCAAGUCUGAGAGAGAAGCUGUAGAACUUCUUGAGUUUGAUGACCAGCGGGCAGACGGAGUUCCAGGCUCGCUCCUGCAGCAUGUGGUCACUGGGAUUUUGAAUUGCCUGAAAAAAACAAAAAUCUCUAUUUAUUUAUAUUAUACUUUAAUUUCAGGAAAAAUCAAGAUCGUGGACCAUGUGAAUCUAAACAGUGUUGGUGUUUGUUAGACACACAGAUACUUAAAGUUAACUGUAUUUACUUGUAAUUAGACAUGAAAGCAGUGUGUUGUUUUGCUUAUUUGCUCUAAAGUGUUGUUUGUACACUCCUUACAUCUCUGAUCUCUUGGCCGGCGCCUUUGUACGCCUGCAGGCCCAACAGGAUGUUCUCAGAGUCCUGCAGGACGGAGUUCACCUGGUUCCACACGUCUCGCUCUCCUUCUGUCGGCUGUGCAUCUAACAGACAAACACAUGGCUCUGCCAGGUCUGCAGCCUGCAGUCAAGUUUACUGUUAUAUUCCCUGCAUUAUUACAGCAGGAACACAACACACAUGCCUGAAUAAGGACAUUGAUUGUUUCCAUGGUUCUGCAGAAACUAUAUUCCUUUAAAUAAACUAAAAAAAUUUG
This is a long non-coding RNA of Solea senegalensis (Senegalese sole), 1580 nucleotides long. RefSeq lists it as uncharacterized. The record is from RefSeq and is a predicted model, not a curated record. The transcript has 3 exons. Lineage: Eukaryota; Metazoa; Chordata; Actinopteri; Pleuronectiformes; Soleidae.